RNAcentral lists this ribosomal RNA (253 nucleotides) under uncultured bacterium. RNAcentral describes it as "partial 16S ribosomal RNA". It matches the Rfam family "Bacterial small subunit ribosomal RNA", at positions 524 to 776 of the family's 1533-position model. The record is from RNAcentral.
UACGGAGGGUGCAAGCGUUAUCCGGAUUCACUGGGUUUAAAGGGUGCGUAGGUGGGCAAGUAAGUCAGUGGUGAAAUCUCCGGGCUUAACCCGGAAACUGCCAUUGAUACUAUUUAUCUUGAAUACUUUGGAGGUAAGCGGAAUAUGUCAUGUAGCGGUGAAAUGCUUAGAUAUGACAUAGAACACCAAUUGCGAAGGCAGCUUACUACACAGUUAUUGACACUGAGGCACGAAAGCGUGGGGAUCAAACAGG